GUCUCAAAGAUUAAGCCAUGCAUGUCUAAGUAUAAGCAAUCUAUACUGUGAAACUGCGAAUGGCUCAUUAAAUCAGUCAUAAUUUAUUUGAUAGUACCUUACUACUUGGAUAACCGUGGUAAUUCUAGAGCUAAUACAUGCUAAAAACCCCGACUCCGGAAGGGGUGUAUUUAUUAGAUAAAAAACCAAUGC
RNAcentral lists this ribosomal RNA (192 nucleotides) under endophyte RAa4. RNAcentral's name for it is "partial small subunit ribosomal RNA". It matches the Rfam family "Eukaryotic small subunit ribosomal RNA", at positions 34 to 228 of the family's 1831-position model. Lineage: Eukaryota; Fungi; Ascomycota. The record is from RNAcentral.